AAUUCCUUGCGCGACGCAGAUGUUCUUCUUCGUCGCUAAAGGUGCCGAAAAUUUUAGGCGGACUAAAUGUGAAAAAAGGCGCCGUUUUAUUUCAGACUCUUCUUCUUCCUCCAGCCAGUCGUGCCCCUUUUUUUUCAGACUCUUCUUCUUCCUCCAGCCGUGCCCUCCCAAACCUCCAUACCACCACCUCCGUUCACGUCCAGCCCCGAUACCAGACCUAGCACAUCCGCCCCGACCCCGCCGUCGCAUCCCAGGCCUUCGCAGCCCCCGUUGAUGACCCCUAACCAAAGCACAAACCCUCUCUCUCUUUCCCCCUCUUUGACAAACCUGACACGUUCUCCCCGACCUCGCCAUCGCAUCCCAGGCCUUCGCCGCCCCCGUUGAUGACUCCUAACCAAAGCACAAACCCUCUCUCCCGUUCCCCCUCUCUGACCCGAAAUUCUCCCCCUCUCUCUCCAACCCAAAUUCUCUCCCUCUCUCUCUAACCGAAAAGCCCCAUCAUUGUAAACAAGUUACCACCAACACCUCCAUCUCACAUCCGCUGCUGUCUGUAUCAAGAUUUGAUUGGAGGUGUUGAUCAAGCAUUGUGGUCUUCGAUUUGUGAUUUUAUGUCAAACCUUAUUAGAAGUCGUAAGGCGGUCACGAUUGCACAGAUGUCGCCUCCCCCGACUCAGUCUUCAACUGCCACUGCUCCAGCACAGAUGGACCACAUGCUAGUUGGUCACUCUACGGGUUCUCCUGCACUGACGUCAUCAGCAUCAUCCGUCGCGCAACCUGUUAGCGCCAGGCGUCGUCAUCCCCCCCUAGACGACCGACACAACCUCGACAGACAGUACGGCCAAGAAGAACACACGGGGGCCUUGUCGGCAGUUGAAGACGGCGAAGGUCACUCGGGGUGACCAAUAGUCGUAUCAACAUCGGAUACGACGAGAGGCAUCGGGCUUCAGCAACUGCGGAAUUUCAUAGCUCAUUAGCCCACGACAUUGGUCACGUCGUUUAGGCCCAUUGCCCAAUGAAAUGGAAGUCUUGGAAGGUCAUGCCUGACGAGACGAGGAUGGAGGUGCGCGGACAGUUGUAGACCAACUACAAUUUAGAAGACCUAGACGACGAGUCAUUGACGUACGUCAAUAGACUCUUCGGUGAGAGGUACAAGCAAUGGAAGAGCGAUUUGCACCACCAUUUUCAGACAUUUGAUGAUCCGCAGGUCGCUCUGCAUGAGGGUUGCCCGCAGGAGCUUGAGGGCCGGGAGGAUAGUUGGGCGUGGCUCUGCGGUCAUUUUCAGGAGGGUGAUUAUUUGGCCCAAGCAAAUAAGGGCAAUAGGAACAAUAAGACUCUUCUCCACCAUUCAGGUUCCAGGCCCUUCUCAUAUAGGAUGGACGCACGACGACGGGAGGGGUCCAAAUUCCCAGAGAUCGACGUCUUUGGCGACGUUUAUGUUCGACCUAUGAAUGAACGACGAUGGUGGAGAAGAGCCAGUUGGUUCUUCAGGAGUCCGCCUCCCAACUUCCUCCCGAUAUUCCGCUCGAGUCUGUGGAUCCUUCACAUGAUGCAGGGUUUCAGAUCCUAACUGAGACCUUGGAUCAGACUCUCGGGAGGAAGCCAGAGACAUAUUAUCGAGGGAUGAGGAAUGCCCGCCGGCAGGAACCUAGAGCCCGUUCCUUAUCGCAGUCAAACAGUCAGGUGACUGCUUUGACGGCAGAGGUGGCCGAGCUUAGGACCCAGAUGUCACAUAUGUCACAGAUUCUACAGUCCAUCGUCCGGUCCGGCGUUCCUAUACCGCAUGUUGGCCCCUCGUCGACCUCUGAGCCCCUCCAACCCGACCUUCGCCACCACACUCAUGCCCCUAUCGAUACUGUCCAAACCUCCGAGCCACAUUUGCAGGAUGACCAUGUAGAUUUUCAAACUCUUUUUGAUUAGUUUUUUUACUUUUUUUCAUUACAUUUGAAAUAUUGAUCUUGUAAUAAAUACAUUUAUAUUAUGUUUACAA
Prunus mume (Japanese apricot) is the source of this 1987-nucleotide non-coding RNA. The record is from RefSeq and is a predicted model, not a curated record. Lineage: Eukaryota; Viridiplantae; Streptophyta; Magnoliopsida; Rosales; Rosaceae.